This 994-nucleotide long non-coding RNA is filed under the name Androctonus crassicauda. The record is from RNAcentral. Lineage: Eukaryota; Metazoa; Arthropoda; Arachnida; Scorpiones; Buthidae.
GUUAAAUUCUCUCUCUAAUUUUCUUCAUCUAUCUUUUUUGUUCCUGCCCAUUUAGUAAAGGUAUUUUUAAUGAUGUCUAAAGUAGGUACGAAAAAUUUUCUACAUACUCUGAGUUUUACACCAUCAAGUUUUGGCAAAUAGCAAUCUAUUCCCAACUUACAUCUAAAAGAACUACCAUCUGAUGUUCGCCAUCUAGUUUUUACAUUUCUUACAUCUACAAGUGCUACCAAAUAGGCUUUUUUAGCUUCCCAGGAAGAUAAUCCCCAAAAAUAAUCGAAUAUGUCCUUUCUCGCUUGCUCAUUUACAGAUCCACAGAGAAUGAUCGAUUUGAUAAUUUUAUGCAUCCGUGGUUGCACGGGGCCUCUCAAAGUUUUCUGUACGGUUUUUUUACGAGAGUUAUCGCAUCAUCUAUCUUCUUGAGUCCUUUGUACUCUUUACCUAGUAACCAUAAUCUUUGAUUGAGUUUUCGUCUAUUAUUGAUACUAAGCAGUUCGUUAUUUAUUUUGUUAUCAUCGUUCUCUGUAUUAUCUACAUCAUCGUUUACAGCUUCAAAUAGUCCAGUUUCAUGAUUAAGUAUUACGUUAGAGGUGGCACUGUUACUACUGACCAAAAUAUUUGAGAUGGAAUUUUCCGAUGGAAUAAUUUCGUUUUUACAGUCGAUCGGAGAUACAACUGGCUCUACUUUUCCACUAUCUAGAUUAUACAGGUCUGAGCAGUCAGCUGCUAAAAUGUCACUGACACAGUCUGAUGAGACAGUAGUUGGAACCACAAAAAUGCUUUGCUGUAGCAUAUCUGUUAUAUUUAUCAUCUGUAUGUUCAUAAAACCAGUGUUGUCAGCCAUGGACCCUGUAUCCUCCUGUUGUAAAAAAAACAUAAUUAAUAGGUGGUUUUGGGUAAGUUAGUGAUGAAGGUUACGUAAGGGUAAAUGACAUCACGCUUUUAGGAGAAGUAAAGUUUUGGUUUCUGCAAUGGUUGUGAUAUAGGGCAAGGUAGG